RNAcentral lists this transfer RNA (75 nucleotides) under Deltaproteobacteria bacterium ADurb.Bin510. RNAcentral describes it as "tRNA-Lys". It matches the Rfam family "tRNA". Rfam says of the family: Transfer RNA (tRNA) molecules are approximately 80 nucleotides in length. Their secondary structure includes four short double-helical elements and three loops (D, anti-codon, and T loops). Further hydrogen bonds mediate the characteristic L-shaped molecular structure. tRNAs have two regions of fundamental functional importance: the anti-codon, which is responsible for specific mRNA codon recognition, and the 3' end, to which the tRNAs corresponding amino acid is attached (by aminoacyl-tRNA synthetases). tRNAs cope with the degeneracy of the genetic code in two manners: having more than one tRNA (with a specific anti-codon) for a particular amino acid; and 'wobble' base-pairing, i.e. permitting non-standard base-pairing at the 3rd anti-codon position. Lineage: Bacteria; Deltaproteobacteria. The record is from RNAcentral.
UGGGUCAUUAGCUCAGUUGGUAGAGCAGCGGACUCUUAAUCCGGUGGUCGAAGGUUCGAGUCCUUCAUGACCCAA